Molecule: non-coding RNA, 21 nt
Organism: Caenorhabditis elegans
Lineage: Eukaryota; Metazoa; Nematoda; Chromadorea; Rhabditida; Rhabditidae
Source: Ensembl
UCCGUAUCUAUAAUGAAUACA